Molecule: long non-coding RNA, 834 nt
Filed under: Gallus gallus (chicken)
Lineage: Eukaryota; Metazoa; Chordata; Aves; Galliformes; Phasianidae
Source: RNAcentral
CUACUUGUUUGUUGUUUGAAAACGUGAGUGAGUUGAAAGGGUUAAGUAACACAAUCAUACGACUAUGGGGGGGGGGUCCCUAUCUACUCAACGCUAAAACCCGAGGAACAGAGGGUGAGAGGAGGUGGGGAAGAGGGAAGGAUUCACGCACUCAGGAUGCACACUGCAAAGGGUGCAGCUGGAAGGGGCCGGCAUCAGACGAUCCCGAAGCGCUCUGCUCUUUUCCUCUUCUUUGCCUCUGUGUCCUCUGUGGCUCCAGCCCCGGCUGAACUCGUCACGAUGCCAAACCGCUCCUUCCUCUUCUUCAGUUUCUCAUCCUCUUCGCUCUUCUUGGAGAGCGAAGAGACAUUCAACCCAAAUCUCUGAGCCCUUUCCUUUAAUUUAUCCAUGUUUACCGUAGGUUUGCUGUCUGCAGAGAGGCCUUUUGUCGAAACUGUGGCCAAACCAAACCGAGCUGCACGCGCUGCCUUCUUGCUCUCCAGGCUCACGGGCACGUUGAAGCGCUCAGCCCUCUUCUGCAUUCUCUCCAUCUGCGAGAUUUCUGACGUUAUUUUCACUACUUUCUUUUCCGUGCUCACGUCAGGCGAUUUUACAGGAGGCUCUUCUACUUUGGUGGGUGGCUCUGCUGGUUUCUGCUCUUCUUCCUCUAUUUCUUCUCCCAGAACAUCCUCUUCGUUUGCUUCUUCUUCAGCGUGCUCCUCCAGGUAGGCCUGCAGCCUGUUGAUCAGGUCCUGCUUGUUGCCCUUCGCCUCCAGCCCACGGGCGAGGCAUUCCUGCUUCAGCUCGGCCAACUUCAACUUGUGGAGCUCCACAGUCUCCGCCGCCAUCUUGUCG